RNAcentral lists this ribosomal RNA (376 nucleotides) under Bacillus tequilensis. Its description in RNAcentral is "bacterial SSU rRNA". It matches the Rfam family "Bacterial small subunit ribosomal RNA", at positions 1017 to 1394 of the family's 1533-position model. The record is from RNAcentral. Lineage: Bacteria; Bacillati; Bacillota; Bacilli; Caryophanales; Bacillaceae.
CCUUCGGGGGCAGAGUGACAGGUGGUGCAUGGUUGUCGUCAGCUUGUGUCGUGAGAUGUUGGGUUAAGUCCCGCAACGAGCGCAACCCUUGAUCUUAGUUGCCAGCAUUCAGUUGGGCACUCUAAGGUGACUGCCGGUGACAAACCGGAGGAAGGUGGGGAUGACGUCAAAUCAUCAUGCCCCUUAUGACCUGGGCUACACACGUGCUACAAUGGACAGAACAAAGGGCAGCGAAACCGCGAGGUUAAGCCAAUCCCACAAAUCUGUUCUCAGUUCGGAUCGCAGUCUGCAACUCGACUGCGUGAAGCUGGAAUCGCUAGUAAUCGCGGAUCAGCAUGCCGCGGUGAAUACGUUCCCGGGUCUUGUACACACCGAA